RNAcentral lists this long non-coding RNA (2405 nucleotides) under Olea europaea subsp. europaea. The record is from RNAcentral. Lineage: Eukaryota; Viridiplantae; Streptophyta; Magnoliopsida; Lamiales; Oleaceae.
UUGUUUGAGACAAAGGAAAGUCUUCUCUGUUUUACCAAUGGACAAACAUUACAAUGAACUGAAUUAUGGUUUCCAUUCUUAUCACAACUCAAAUUUAGUUGAUCUUUUAAAAAGACCAACUUCUGAAAUAAUAAAUGACCUAAUUUGUGAUGCCAUGUACAAGUAUUCACUUUAUUUACAGCUGAGGAAAUGGAAACACAAACAUCAUCAAUCAAAGCGUUACUUUUAUUAUCUUGUGCUAAAUCACAUGAGGAAUCACUCAUUAUGUAUAAAUCAGCAAUUCUUUCACCCUUGCAAUUCAUCUUCUGGUUGUGUGCAUCCUGGAUAACAUUAGUAAUAAAGAAUCUAACUUCAAUGCAAGGAUCCCUGGUUAAUGAGCUAACUGACAUUAGGUUGAAUUUAAACUUUAGCACAUAUAACACAUCUUUAAGCAUCAGACUAUGGCCACAUUUCACAGUCCCAAUGAAUUUUACAGGAAUUCUCUUAUGGUUUGACAAAGUGACACAUACAUUCUUAAAGGUUUCAUAGUACUGAAAGUAGAUUGAUUGAAGCAUUAUGGCUGGUUGCCUCAGAAUCCACCACCAUUGUUGAGGUUAAAAUCAAUAGAGAAUCAAGCACCUGUCACCUGAUUAGAGUGUUCAUCAUUCCGUGUGUAAACUUUUGCAGAAGCCAGAUGAUUGCUCAACAUGUUCAUUAUUUGCUGGUAUUGAGUAGGGUUCAAAGAUUGCAUGAAAUCUCUUGCAUUACUCUGUACUCACUUUGAAAUAGACUCGAAAACUACCUGAUUUGCAACACAUGCCUUGACUGGCCGUUGGUAGCUCCUAAUUGGUCGGUAAAACCAGAUUUCUGCUUCUUCUUCUUAUAACUAGGAGGAUAUCCAUGUAAUUUGUAACAUUUAUCCACUGAAUGACUUGCUUGUCCACAAUAAGUACACAUGGGCCUUUCCUUCAUUUGAUGUGUCUGUCUUGAGCUGGUUUUCUUAGGAUCAGUUUUAGCAUAGAAUGCUAUAGAAUCUCCAGCGUUAGAAUUACUGGCAUUAAUGUUUAUAUUUCUUUGAUGUUCUUUUUGAGAAACAAGGGAAAAUACCUUGUUGAUAGGAGAUAUAGGAUUCACAAGUAACAAUUGCCCUCUGACUUAAGCAAAUGUAUCAUUCAGCCCUAUUAAAAAUGACAUAACACACUCUAUAUAAUAUUGUUCUGAAAACCACUACAAACACACUCCCCACACGAACAUAUUGGUCUGAAGUUAUUGAGUUCUUCCCAAAUUGUUUUCAAUUUGGUGAAAUAAGCACCAACAGAUGACUGACCUUGAGUGAGAUUCAUCCAUUCUCGUUUUAGUUGAAAUAUGCGAGGUCCAUUCUUCUGCUGAAACCUUUCUUUCAAAUCAAUCCAUACGACUCGGAGUAAAUGAAACUUGCAGAGAUCUCCUUAGAGACUGAGUUGAGAAUCCAUGAGAUAACCAUAUUGUUACUACGAAUCCAAUUGUUGAGCUGAUCAUCAUUGUCUUCAGGUUAGACAAUGAUCCAUCAAAAUAAUCGAGUUUGUUCUUCACGAAUAGAACUAUCACCAUGGCUCUACUCCAUGAAGCAUAAUUGUCACCAGUAAGAGGUUGUGAAACAAGCACAAGCCUCGGGUUGUUUUAAUGGUGAAUAUAGAAAGGACUAGACCCAUCAUCAGUGGUAGAAUCCUUAUUGAUGACGAGGAAUUGUUUGCUGCCGAUGCCAUUACAUGCCAAAAGAAAUUCAAUCGAAGAUUCAAUUGAAUUUCAGAGAAGCAGACAAUAGAAGCACAAAAGCUCUGAUACCAUAUUAAAAAAUGAAGCAGGAAAAAUGAAUUCCAUCGUAUUGAAUCGAAGAGAAAAUCAAAUCAGUACAUUGCAAGGUGGUGUGUAAUAGAAAAUGAUAUCAACAAACUAACCAACUCACUAACUCAACUGUACAAAGCAAUACAAGAUGGACAUGUGGACUUGAUCAACUAAUCUAACCACCUAACUGAUAGCUGGCUCCAGUGGCGCACCUCCUUGGUUCUUUCUGUUAUAUGGAGACAGCACAAACAGGGGCUGAUUCUAGAACCCAAGCGCCGGCCAAAGUGUAAGCAAAAAAGAGGGGAAGAUGGGUUGCACAAAGGAGCCAAAAUCCUGCCAUGAUCAAAGGAAGAAGCACAACAAUAGCCUGGCAAAGGAAUAACCUUGUGACAUACGUGUAUAAUGAAAAAAGGAGGCCAACAUAUGUAGUUCCAUUUAGGUUAAAUAAGUGGGUUGAGCCCUAAAUGAAACACUCGGUCCGUCUUAGAUUCGUGGGCUUCCAAUUGUGGUUUUGGGCUUACGUGAUUCAAUAUUCAAUCUCGAACUUCUAACGAAGCCUAUGAAUAAAAAAACCAACUCGAUUUGCUCAUUAUAGCCCCGAA